Molecule: long non-coding RNA, 247 nt
Organism: Centruroides sculpturatus (bark scorpion)
Lineage: Eukaryota; Metazoa; Arthropoda; Arachnida; Scorpiones; Buthidae
Exons: 2
Source: RefSeq, a predicted model, not a curated record
UUUUAAUAAAUUAAAUAUAUCGUCAUUUAAUCCAUUAUUGUUAUUUUAUAUGUAGAAAGAGACAAAGUUGAGCCAACGGAGAGUGAAAUAUUUUACUUGAACAGGUUGAAGUCAAUUAUUAGGCAGAUAUCAGAAUCCAGCGAAGCAGUUGAAGAUUCCUCUAAGUUUGAAGAAAUUACGGAUAAAGAACUUGUUUCGAGUUUGACACCGGCCAGCGUCGUGGAAAUACAUACUCCUGAAGCUAAAG